CUUUCAAGGUUUUUAGGCAAGGAAUAGCUGCGCAGACGAGGCGAGGCGUGGCGUGGUUUUUACUACGCGCUGGGGUCAGGAUGAGAGGGGUCAACAAUGAGGGUCGGUCGUCGUGGCAGGUCCCGGGCCGGCGUGCGAUGUUGAUCUUGGUUGGGGUCGGGGCCACGUCACGUGUCGGUCACAUCGAUCCGAGAGAGCGUCGCUCUCGUCCUGCGUCCUGCCGAUCGAUCGAAACUAGCCGGCCGGCCUAGCCUCACGAGCACACAGCCCCCGGUACCGGCCGCGGCGCCCGCUGUCCCGCCUUCCACACCCGCCACCGCCCCUGACCGGCGGCAAGCGGCCGCUGCGGAAGCGCCUCAUGAGCAGCAGCCACAAGCGCCUCGAGCCACCUACCAGCCUACCGGAACCGCGCCCGCGGCCCCUCGACGGCGGCGACCUAGACGGCCGCCGCUCGCGCAGGCCCGGCCAGGGCUACCGCGCCAGCCUGCUCUAGUACGGCCGGCGCAGUCCGCUCGGGCGUCCGCGGCGGAGGAGGACGAGGUCGCCGCUGCCGCGGCGUCGGCGGCGCCUCUUGCGGCUGUUCGGCGUCCUCCGGCGGCUGCGUCGCUCGUACUUCGGCCGCCGCCGCCGUCCCUUCUUCCCCGUCUUCGCCCGCGCCGUCGUCGCCAAGCGGAAGCACUGGUUCUCGCUUCAACUAGUGGAGCUCCUACCCAUGUCUACCUCCUUCAUACCCGUCUUUCGGCAGUUCUUGUCGGGAAAGGGUUCCUCGAUGAUGGCCACGUGGUUGUCGUUCACGUGGCACUUCUUCGCCCACCUCGCCAGCAGCCUCCUGGGGAGGCACCACUAGUGGUGGAUGCUCCCGGUCGUGACGGUGGUGGUCUGGAGGAAGGUCGCGCCGCCGUACGUGAAGGUGCCGCGGCGGUGGCAACGCGAGCGGCUCGUCUACAGCAAGCACAGUUGAGUCGUCGACAUGUUGGACGGCGGGGACGCGGCUGUUGUCUACUUAGGACGUAGCAGCCUCAGGCGGCAAUCGAGGCACGGCGGCAGAAACGUCGUCGAGUUGCCGCCGCUGCUUGACGCUUCCAGUUGAUCGAUAUCGGGGUGCCGCAGGCGCCACGUCUGUGGCAGCAGCAGCAACCACGGAGGCCUGCAAAGGAAACUGUACCCUGACGAACCGCUGUAGCACGGAGGUCCUCAUUCUUUACCUACUUCUAGAUAUUACCAUUAAUAAAAUUCUAUUAUCCAAAUAUUCGCUCUUGCCGAUGCCACACCUGCUCGAGCACGCGAGGGCGAUUGACCUGCUUGCUGAGGUACUGCGCAUCGUGUCGCAUAAAUGACGAUACCACACGUAACUGCAGCUCAUGUCCACGAGGUGGCAGGUUUGAUUGGGCUUUCAUCGCCGAGUCGAAGCACAACAAGGCAACCUUGUACUUACAGCCUCACCGGGUAUUGGCUUACGGCGGCAGUUGAAAGCGAUGACUCUACCGCAGGAGGCUUUCCCAUGAACCCACGGGUUGAGAGUUUUCAUUUACCCAUGGGUACAAACCCGGGUACCAACAGAGUCGCAGCGACUGGUCAUUUUCUUUAUAUAGAAGGAAGAGGGUAUCGGCGGAUGUCUCGUCCUCGAGUACCGCUACGUCUACAGCUGUAUCGGCGGAUGUCUCGUCCUCGAGUACCGCUACGUCUAUAGCCGGCGACCUCCACAACUUCAGCUCAAAAACAGUCUAGGGCAGCUGUCUAAAGGUGACGCUCUAGAGCGACGGCGUGUCGGGAACCAACGAAUGCUCUACAUGUUUAGGUACCUCACACUCGGACGACUCAGGUCGUAACCACUACACCUCUGCGAGGCCAGUUGUCAUUAACGUUACGCUAACGGAACAGACGUCGUCGUAGACUCGUAAGAUGCCCGUUUCUGUGGGGACUUCGGGGUCCGACCUCCUUCUCUUACGCUCAGCCUUCAAGUAGAUCGCUCGCGGUGGGUACGCGACUGUCCUACUCACGAAACCUUCGUUGUGAUUCUUCGAUACGUCUCUUUUUUUUACCGUGACAGCAUCAAGGAUGAUACCCCUGUUUUAAACUAAGAGAACUUCUUCGGACGAUCUUGUACAAGGACCUACACGUACCUACGUCUUUUACAGGAACCCUAUAUCUCGACCUUUAGACCCUGAAUCCCACAAGAUCUCGUAGGUACGGUAGGUUCACUCUCCUCUUAUAGGAAACAGAAAUCCUGUACGAACGACUUGUACGUUCAAGCGAUCUGCUUCCUACCCAUAUUGACUACUUCGAAAUACGUCAGAUAACCGUGGGUAGAGCAUGUCUCGAUAACGGCUCUCGCGGAAACGUAGACUGCAGCACGCGGUCUCAACCAGUAUCCCCUGGUGUGCGUCGAACUAGUCGAGCUGUACCAGGGCGUCCGGGCAAAGGAAGGGAACCUCUCGGAUUCCGACCGGUAUCACCCCCAUUGUAUUGGACAUUGUACGUGAACCCUGAUCGUUUAUACAAAUACACCGUGUAUUAAUUUCUCCUCUCUCUCCCAAUCUCAUUGUAUCCAUCUAUGGUAUAGUACAAUUUACGAUACGAUGAAACACAGUACGUACCGUUAUUUAUACUAGUAGAUACUAUGAUGAAAUACAAUGAUACGUGAUACCUCCAUCAUAGUAUGUGAUCAUAGUAUACGUACUAUGAUCAUAUACAAUGAAGGGUGAUACUGGUCGGAUUAUCAGAGGAGCAGGUGCACGGGGGAUAUUUCCUUGUACGGUUAGAGAAACAGUGUUGGUGGGACCAUUUUUCUCCUUCUACAAAUCAGCUCCAUAACGUGUUGGUCCUCGUUCACAUUCAAGAAUCUUGUCCACAACUUUAACGCAGUCGUACCUAGUUCUCUUGAAAAGGUAAGGUCCAUAUACUACGGUUUACUUGUAGGGUAAAUAUCUUCAAAACGACUUAGUGUACUGUUUUAACGAUACGUCAUGUGAAACGAUACAAAGGUUCGUCCUAAUAAUGAUUAGACGUUUCAAUAACGCUUGACUUAAGUAGGUAGACAGAAGACGAAAAAACACAACGCACACUAAGAGUUGUUUUUGUAUACCCAUAUUACUCUGUUCCUUGGGUUUGAUGCAUAUAGUUUACAAUAGUAGUCCAGACGGGUCACGUGCCUUCGGUUAGACUCAGUUCAAUACAAUAAGAAAAAACUUUGUCUUCAAUACCGAAUUAACACUUGCCUUCCCUUACGUCCGGUGAAUGACCACUACCAUCGUAAGACGUGGGUCAUCGUCCCAGGCCGCUUCGUUUAAUAGAGGGAUGACCGAUAUAGACUUGAGACUUCAGUACUGUAAAGAGUCUAGUCCCUUCCGCCUAUUGGUUUCCGCGAUGGGUAUCGAUCCCAAAGGUCGACUAACUAGCUACGAGAGGAUGUCGUAGGGAACUCUGGCUCGACCUAGAACUCGGAUAAUGUCUGCCCAUAACUAGUUUCUGCUACGUACCUCAUGUUGCGAAAGAUGACUACUGUCCUAAACGAUAACUAAAACGUGACGCGGAGUAAUAACCUGUCCGGGCACGUUCAGAGCUAGAGUACCGUUUUAAUAUACGGGUGGAUUAAUCGAAGUCGGAUAGACAAACUAGAUGAACUGGGAACCGUACAUCGUUAAACUAUCAUCAUCAUAUACCAGAAGAACGUGUUAUCAUAACAUAAUUGGAUUUGAAAAUACUGAAAGAUCGAUCGAUCGACGGAUCGUCCUAAUCAAACAACACCUACAUAUAUAUACAAGUUCUAAGACGUAUAUACGUCACGUCAUAGCCGCACUAGUAUGUCGAUCUAGUAAGUUGCGAAACAAGAAAUAAUGAGGG
Molecule: ribosomal RNA, 3843 nt
Filed under: Triticum aestivum (bread wheat)
Lineage: Eukaryota; Viridiplantae; Streptophyta; Magnoliopsida; Poales; Poaceae
Description: partial small subunit ribosomal RNA
Source: RNAcentral